Molecule: transfer RNA, 74 nt
Filed under: Cyclocybe aegerita
Lineage: Eukaryota; Fungi; Basidiomycota; Agaricomycetes; Agaricales; Hemipholiotaceae
Description: tRNA-Cys
Rfam family: tRNA
About the family: Transfer RNA (tRNA) molecules are approximately 80 nucleotides in length. Their secondary structure includes four short double-helical elements and three loops (D, anti-codon, and T loops). Further hydrogen bonds mediate the characteristic L-shaped molecular structure. tRNAs have two regions of fundamental functional importance: the anti-codon, which is responsible for specific mRNA codon recognition, and the 3' end, to which the tRNAs corresponding amino acid is attached (by aminoacyl-tRNA synthetases). tRNAs cope with the degeneracy of the genetic code in two manners: having more than one tRNA (with a specific anti-codon) for a particular amino acid; and 'wobble' base-pairing, i.e. permitting non-standard base-pairing at the 3rd anti-codon position.
Source: RNAcentral
GGGUUAAGUUUACAGAUGGUUUCUGUAGUAGACCUGCAAAGUCUUUUUUUUAGGUUCAAUUCCUACUUAACUCU